UCCGGUGAUGAUUAUAUCCAUAUAAUUUGAGGUGUAGUAGAACCAAGCCCCUGUUUACAGGGAGAACCUACUUGGGAAAACUGCAUUUCAUAUGAAAUUAAUGGAUAUUGCUGAGGU
Molecule: small nucleolar RNA, 117 nt
Filed under: Nelumbo nucifera (sacred lotus)
Lineage: Eukaryota; Viridiplantae; Streptophyta; Magnoliopsida; Proteales; Nelumbonaceae
Description: Small nucleolar RNA Z278
Rfam family: Small nucleolar RNA Z278
About the family: snoZ278 is a C/D box small nucleolar RNA. Its methylation guide targets have not been reported.
Source: Rfam by way of RNAcentral